UGUAACUGAGAACGGAAAGACCAUAAGCAACCACUUCGGACGGGCACCUUAUUUUAAGGUGAUCACCCUUCAGGAGAAUAAGAUUGUUGCUGAAGAAACACGGAACAAACCUUAUCAUGGUCAAAUGGAAGGGCACCCGCAUACUCACGAUCAUGCUUUACAUGCAGAUAUGUUUGCGCCCAUCGCUGAUUGUGAUAUCCUGCUUUGCGGCGGGAUGGGUGAUCCA
RNAcentral lists this unclassified non-coding RNA (226 nucleotides) under uncultured fungus. RNAcentral describes it as "sequence contains ITS1". The record is from RNAcentral. Lineage: Eukaryota; Fungi.